CCUACGGGUGGCAGCAGUGAGGAAUAUUGGUCAAUGGGCGCGAGCCUGAACCAGCCAAGUAGCGUGAAGGAUGACUGCCCUACGGGUUGUAAACCUCUUUUAUAAAGGAAUAAAGUGAGGCACGUGUGCCUUGUUGUAUGUACUUUAUGAAACAGGAUCGGCUAACUCCGUGCCAGCAGCCGCGGUAAUACGGAGGAUCCGAGCGUUAUCCGGAUUUAUUGGGUUUAAAGGGAGCGUAGAUGGUUUGUUAAGUCAGUUGUGAAAGUUUGCGGCUCAACCGUAGAAUUGCAUUUGAUACUGGCAGUCUUGAGUACAGUAGAGGUAGGCGGAAUGCGUGGUGUAGCGGUGAAAUGCUUAGAUAGCACGAAGAACUCCGAUUGCGAAGGCAGCUUGCUGGACUGCCACUGACGUUGAUGCUCGAAAGUGUGGGUAUCAAACAGGAUUAGAUACCCGAGUAGUC
RNAcentral lists this ribosomal RNA (460 nucleotides) under uncultured bacterium. RNAcentral describes it as "partial 16S ribosomal RNA". It matches the Rfam family "Bacterial small subunit ribosomal RNA", at positions 338 to 795 of the family's 1533-position model. The record is from RNAcentral.